RNAcentral lists this ribosomal RNA (492 nucleotides) under uncultured bacterium. Its description in RNAcentral is "partial 16S ribosomal RNA". It matches the Rfam family "Bacterial small subunit ribosomal RNA", at positions 29 to 507 of the family's 1533-position model. The record is from RNAcentral.
AGUGAACGCUGGCGGUAGGCCUAACACAUGCAAGUCGAACGGCAGCACAGUAAGAGCUUGCUCUUACGGGUGGCGAGUGGCGGACGGGUGAGGAAUACAUCGGAAUCUACUUUUUCGUGGGGGAUAACGUAGGGAAACUUACGCUAAUACCGCAUACGACCUACGGGUGAAAGCAGGGGAUCUUCGGACCUUGCGCGAUUGAAUGAGCCGAUGUCGGAUUAGCUAGUUGGCGGGGUAAAGGCCCACCAAGGCGACGAUCCGUAGCUGGUCUGAGAGGAUGAUCGGCCACACGGGAACUGAAACACGGUCCAGACUCCUACGGGAGGCAGCAGUGGGGAAUAUUGGACAAUGGGCGCAAGCCUGAUCCAGCCAUACCGCGUGGGUGAAGAAGGCCUUCGGGUUGUAAAGCCCUUUUGUUGGGAAAGAAAAGCAGCAGGUUAAUACCCCGCUGUUCUGACGGUACCCAAAGAAUAAGCACCGGCUAACUUCGUG